AGCCACACCGCCGACAUUAGCUCCCACUUUCAAGAAGCAAUAGAUUUUAUUGGAUCUUGCCCUGUAGCCCACACUGGCCUCAGACCCAGUCCACUGCCUGGGCCUUCUGAGUGCGAAGAUGAGGGAACCACCACCAGGCCCAACACGGAGGAGGUGCUGUCAUCCAUGCCGCCUUGUUUCCACGAAGGACUCCCAAUUUCCUUUUCCCUUACUUCCGUUUUCUCAGAGACUUCAAGCCACCACAAGACCUUCAAACUCCAUUUAAAGACUAAAUAUACCACUUACGAAGUGAGGUAUGGAAUAAAUAAAUACCUAAAGUGUCA
Molecule: long non-coding RNA, 323 nt
Filed under: Rattus norvegicus (Norway rat)
Lineage: Eukaryota; Metazoa; Chordata; Mammalia; Rodentia; Muridae
Description: long non-coding RNA NONRATT001867
Source: RNAcentral